GUCUUUUUGUUAAUAAUUUAAAGUCAAAUCUGCCCACUGAUUUAUAAUUAAAGGGCUGCAGUAUAUUGACUGUACAAAGGUAGCAUAGUAAAUAGUCUUUUAAUUGAAGACUUGUAUGAAUGAUUUGAUGAAAUAUAAACUGUCUCUUUUUUAUAAUUUGAAUUUAAUUUUUUAGUAAAAAAGCUAAAAUUUGAUUAAAAGACGAGAAGACCCUAUAGAGUUUUAUAAUUAAUUUAUUUAUAAAUUUAUUUAUAAUUUUAAAAAUAAUUAAGUUAAUUAUUUUAUUGGGGUGAUAGAAAAAUUAAAUUAACUUUUUUUAAAAAUAAACAUUAAUUAAUGAAUAUAUGAUCCAUAUUUUAUGAUUAUAAGAAAAAAUUACCUUAGGGAUAACAGCGUAAUUUUUUUUUUUAGUUCUUAUAGGAAAAAAAGUUUGCGACCUCGAUGUUGGAUUAAGAUAAAAUUUAAAUGCACAAGUUUAAAAUUUUGAUCUGUUCCAUCAUUAAAAUCUUACA
RNAcentral lists this ribosomal RNA (512 nucleotides) under Borbo holtzii. RNAcentral's name for it is "Borbo holtzi partial 16S ribosomal RNA". The stretch from base 386 to 512 matches the Rfam family "Bacterial large subunit ribosomal RNA", at positions 2473 to 2600 of the family's 2925-position model. The record is from RNAcentral. Lineage: Eukaryota; Metazoa; Arthropoda; Insecta; Lepidoptera; Hesperiidae.